AUGAUUGGUGCUAGAGGAACAAUUGGAUUCAUUGCUCCAGAAGUUCACUCACGAAACUUUGGACUUGUUUCAACAAAGUCAGAUGUUUAUAGUUAUGGAAUGAUGUUGCUCGGGAUGGUUGGAGGAAGGAAAAAUGUGAAAUCGGUGGCUCAAAAAUCCAGUGAAAAGUAUUUCCCAGAUUGGAUUUAUGAUCACUUUGCUCAAGAUGAUGGAUUAGAAGCAUGUCAAGUUACAUGUGACAUUGAGGAAAUUGCAAGAAAGAUGACCUUGAUUGGCUUGUGGUGCGUACAAGUAUUACCUGUGUAUCGCCCUACUAUAACCAAAGUUCUAGAAAUGUUUGAGAGAAGCUUAGAUGACAUGGCCAUGCCACCGAAGCAAAACUUCAGUGGACGACUCGAAAACUCAGCUCACAAUAUGAAUGUUCAAAGCGCAAGCUCUACGACAUCUGAGGAGAUAAGGCUUGUGAAUACAGGAAACGCACGACAAUUUCCACCUCUUUGA
This 501-nucleotide ribosomal RNA is filed under the name Triticum aestivum (bread wheat). RNAcentral describes it as "partial small subunit ribosomal RNA". Lineage: Eukaryota; Viridiplantae; Streptophyta; Magnoliopsida; Poales; Poaceae. The record is from RNAcentral.